GCUCAGUAACACGUGGAUAACUUACCCUUAGGACUGGGAUAACUCUGGGAAACUGGGGAUAAUACUGGAUAUUAGGCUAUGCCUGGAAUGGUUUGCCUUUGAAAUGUUUUUUUUCGCCUAAGGAUAGAUCUGCGGCUGAUUAGGUCGUUGGUGGGGUAAUGGCCCACCAAGCCGAUGAUCGGUACGGGUUGUGAGAGCAAGAGCCCGGAGAUGGAACCUGAGACAAGGUUCCAGACCCUACGGGGUGCAGCAGGCGCGAAACCUCCGCAAUGUACGAAAGUGCGACGGGGGGAUCCCAAGUGUUAUGCUUUUUGGUAUGACUUUUCAUUAGUGUAAAAAGCUUUUAGAAUAAGAGCUGGGCAAGACCGGUGCCAGCCGCCGCGGUAACACCGGCAGCUCGAGUGGUAGCUGUUUUUAUUGGGCCUAAAGCGUUCGUAGCCGGUUUGAUAAGUCUUUGGUGAAAGCUUGUAGCUUAACUAUAAGAAUUGCUGGAGAUACUAUUAGACUUGAAGUCGGGAGAGGUUAGAGGUACUACCGGGGUAGGGGUGAAAUCCUAUAAUCCUGGGAGGACCACCUGUGGCGAAGGCGUCUAACUGGAACGAUCUUGACGGUGAGUAACGAAAGCCAGGGGCGCGAACCGGAUUAGAUACCCGGGUAGUCCUGGCCGUAAACGAUGUGGACUUGGUGUUGGAAUGGCUUUGAGUUGUUCCGGUGCCGAAGGGAAGCUGUUAAGUCCACCGCCUGGGAAGUACGGUCGCAAGACUGGAACUUAAAGGAAUUGGCGGGGGAGCAC
RNAcentral lists this ribosomal RNA (793 nucleotides) under uncultured Methanobacteriaceae archaeon. RNAcentral's name for it is "bacterial SSU rRNA". It matches the Rfam family "Archaeal small subunit ribosomal RNA", at positions 88 to 879 of the family's 1478-position model. The record is from RNAcentral. Lineage: Archaea; Methanobacteriati; Methanobacteriota; Methanobacteria; Methanobacteriales; Methanobacteriaceae.